GGCCCGUUCGUCUAUCGGCUAGGAUACCUGGUUCUCAGCCAGGAGAGGCGGGUUCGAUUCCCGCACGGGCUG
RNAcentral lists this transfer RNA (72 nucleotides) under Isosphaeraceae bacterium. RNAcentral's name for it is "tRNA-Glu". It matches the Rfam family "tRNA". From Rfam's summary of the family: Transfer RNA (tRNA) molecules are approximately 80 nucleotides in length. Their secondary structure includes four short double-helical elements and three loops (D, anti-codon, and T loops). Further hydrogen bonds mediate the characteristic L-shaped molecular structure. tRNAs have two regions of fundamental functional importance: the anti-codon, which is responsible for specific mRNA codon recognition, and the 3' end, to which the tRNAs corresponding amino acid is attached (by aminoacyl-tRNA synthetases). tRNAs cope with the degeneracy of the genetic code in two manners: having more than one tRNA (with a specific anti-codon) for a particular amino acid; and 'wobble' base-pairing, i.e. permitting non-standard base-pairing at the 3rd anti-codon position. Lineage: Bacteria; Pseudomonadati; Planctomycetota; Planctomycetia; Isosphaerales; Isosphaeraceae. The record is from RNAcentral.